RNAcentral lists this ribosomal RNA (429 nucleotides) under Pseudomonadota bacterium. RNAcentral describes it as "Proteobacteria bacterium partial 16S ribosomal RNA". It matches the Rfam family "Bacterial small subunit ribosomal RNA", at positions 355 to 776 of the family's 1533-position model. Lineage: Bacteria; Pseudomonadati; Pseudomonadota. The record is from RNAcentral.
UGGGGAAUAUUGGACAAUGGGCGAAAGCCUGAUCCAGCCAUGCCGCGUGUGUGAAGAAGGUCUUCGGAUUGUAAAGCACUUUAAGUUGGGAGGAAGGGCAGUAAGCGAAUACCUUGCUGUUUUGACGUUACCGACAGAAUAAGCACCGGCUAACUCUGUGCCAGCAGCCGCGGUAAUACAGAGGGUGCAAGCGUUAAUCGGAUUUACUGGGCGUAAAGCGCGCGUAGGUGGUUCGUUAAGUUGAAUGUGAAAGCCCCGGGCUCAACCUGGGAACUGCAUCCAAAACAGGCGAGCUAGAGUAGGGCAGAGGGUGGUGGAAUUUCCUGUGUAGCGGUGAAAUGCGUAGAUAUAGGAAGGAACACCAGUGGCGAAGGCGACCACCUGGGCUCAUACUGACACUGAGGUGCGAAAGCGUGGGGAGCAAACAGG